This 773-nucleotide ribosomal RNA is filed under the name uncultured Neocallimastigales. RNAcentral's name for it is "partial large subunit ribosomal RNA". It matches the Rfam family "Eukaryotic large subunit ribosomal RNA", at positions 24 to 628 of the family's 3401-position model. Lineage: Eukaryota; Fungi; Neocallimastigomycota; Neocallimastigomycetes; Neocallimastigales. The record is from RNAcentral.
UAUGUGAUCGUCUCUCGCAUAUCAAUAAGCGGAGGAAAAGAAACUAACAAGGAUUCCCCUAGUAACGGCGAGUGAAGCGGGAAGAGCUCAAAUUUGAAAUCUUAAAGGGUUUCCCUUUACGAAUUGUAGUUUAAAGAAGUGUUUUCUGUUGAGGUUUUGGUAAAAGUUCUUUGGAAUAGGACAUCAUAGAGGGUGAGAAUCCCGUAUUUGACCUUUACUUUCAACUUUGUGAUACACUUUCAAAGAGUCGGAUUGUUUGGGAAUGCAGUCCAAAAUGGGUGGUAAAUUUCAUCUAAAGCUAAAUAUUGGCGAGAGACCGAUAGCGAACAAGUACCGUGAGGGAAAGAUGAAAAGAACUUUGAAAAGAGAGUUAAACAGUACGUGAAAUUGUCAAAAGGGAAGCGUUUGACACCAGUGUUGUUUUUCUGAAAAUCAAUUAAAGAACUGUUUAUGCUAAGUUGUUUAGACUUUAUCAGCUAUCUGCUUAGUUUUGAGCUUUUCUUUAAUGCACUUUUCAGUUAACAAGUCAACAUCAAUUUCUUUUGCUGUAAAAAAGCUUGAGGAAGGUGGCUUGAGAUUCGUCUUAAGUGUUUAUAGCCUCUUGCCUAUGCAGUCGGAGAGAUUGAGGUCUGCAGCGUAGAUCCUUCGGGGCUAAAUGCAUUUGUGCUAAGUUAUAGCAUUUUAUAGACAACUUGUUGCUAUGAUUUGUCUUGUAGCUUACUCGCUUAUGUUAUUUUACCUACGCUUAGGAUGUUGAGUCGUAGAGCACGCAG